RNAcentral lists this ribosomal RNA (658 nucleotides) under uncultured fungus. RNAcentral's name for it is "eukaryotic LSU rRNA". It matches the Rfam family "Eukaryotic large subunit ribosomal RNA", at positions 24 to 664 of the family's 3401-position model. Lineage: Eukaryota; Fungi. The record is from RNAcentral.
CCCGCUGAACUUAAGCAUAUCAAUAAGCGGAGGAAAAGAAACUAACAAGGAUUCCCCUAGUAACGGCGAGUGAAGCGGGAACAGCUCAAAUUUGAAACCUGGCGUCCUUCGGGCGUCCGGAUUGUAUUCUAGAGAAGCGUCUUCCACGCUGGUCCAUGUAUAAGUGCCCUGGAACGGGCUGUCAUAGAGGGUGAGAAUCCCGUCUUUGACACGGACUACCAGGGCUUAUGUGAUGCGCUCUCAAAGAGUCGAGUUGUUUGGGAAUGCAGCUCUAAAUGGGUGGUAAAUUCCAUCUAAAGCUAAAUAUUGGCGAGAGACCGAUAGCGAACAAGUACCGUGAGGGAAAGAUGAAAAGAACUUUGGAAAGAGAGUUAAACAGUACGUGAAAUUGUUGAAAGGGAAACGCUUGAAGUCAGUCGCGUUGGCCAGGAAUCAACCUUGCUUUUGCUUGGCGUACUUUCUGGUUAAUGGGUCAGCAUCAAUUUUGACCGGUGGAUAAAGGUCAGGGGAAUGUGGCAUCUUCGGAUGUGUUAUAGCCUCUGGUCGCAUACAUCGGUUGGGAUUGAGGAACUCAGCACGCCGCAAGGCCGGGUUUUUAACCACGUACGUGCUUAGGAUGCUGGCAUAAUGGCUUUAAUCGACCCGUCUUGAAACACGG